GCACAAGCGGUGGAUGAUGUUGGAUUAAUUCGAUGCAACGCGAAAACCUUACCUACCCUUGACAUGUCCGGAAUCCCGAAGAGAUUUGGGAGUGCUCGCAAGAGAGCCGGAACACAGGUGCUGCAUGGCUGUCGUCAGCUCGUGUCGUGAGAUGUUGGGUUAAGUCCCGCAACGAGCGCAACCUUGUCAUUAGUUGCCAUCAUUUGGUUGGGCACUCUAAUGAGACUGCCGGUGACAAACCGGAGGAAGGUGGGGAUGACGUCAAGUCCUCAUGGCCCUUAUGGGUAGGGCUUCACACGUCAUACAAUGGUCGGUACAGAGGGUUGCCAACCCGCGAGGGGGAGCUAAUCCCACAAAGCCGAUCGUAGUCCGGAUCGCAGUCUGCAACUCGACUGCGUGAAGUCGGAAUCGCUAGUAAUCGUGGAUCAGCAUGUCACGGUGAAUACGUUCCCGGGUCUU
This 459-nucleotide ribosomal RNA is filed under the name uncultured Rhodocyclaceae bacterium. RNAcentral describes it as "bacterial SSU rRNA". It matches the Rfam family "Bacterial small subunit ribosomal RNA", at positions 923 to 1382 of the family's 1533-position model. The record is from RNAcentral. Lineage: Bacteria; Pseudomonadati; Pseudomonadota; Betaproteobacteria; Rhodocyclales; Rhodocyclaceae.